This 468-nucleotide ribosomal RNA is filed under the name uncultured bacterium. RNAcentral describes it as "partial 16S ribosomal RNA". It matches the Rfam family "Bacterial small subunit ribosomal RNA", at positions 28 to 507 of the family's 1533-position model. The record is from RNAcentral.
GACGAACGCUGGCGGCGUGCUUAACACAUGCAAGUCGAACGGAAAGGCCCUGCUUUUGUGGGGUGCUCGAGUGGCGAACGGGUGAGUAACACGUGUGUAACCUGCCCUUGUCUUUGGGAUAACUUCAGGAAACUGGGGCUAAUACCGGAUAGGAGCUCCUGCUGCAUGGUGGGCGUUGGAAAGUUUCGGCGGUUGGGGAUGGACUCGCGGCUUAUCAGCUUGUUGGUGGGGUAGUGGCUUACCAAGGCUUUGACGGGUAGCCGGCCUGAGAGGGUGACCGGCCACAAUGGGACUGAGAUACGGCCCAGACGCCUACGGGGGGCAGCAGUGGGGAAUAUUGCACAAUGGGCGGAAGCCUGAUGCAGCAACGCCGCGUGCGGGAUGACGGCCUUCGGGUUGUAAACCGCUUUCGCCUGUGACGAAGCGUGAGUGACGGUAAUGGGUAAAGAAGCACCGGCUAACUACGUG